AUGGACCACAGGUAGAGUGUCCUGAAUCUGGGAUACGUGUUUACUCUAUCGUUUGGUACACAGUGUAUUUUGAGCUGUCCUGUCAGGUAGACCUUGAUGUGCUGGACUCCGAUGGUCUCGUUGAAGCGCUGAGGGACCAGCAGGCGCAGCAGGCCCCUCAGGUCUGGAGUGUGGUACAGAGACACCCGCAUCUGAGAGUCGAAGCGCUGCAGCAACGGCAGCAGCAUGGUCCUCGAGUUGAUCUGCCCUGCACGGAAAACAUGAUCGGGAUGAUGAGGGAGUGGCGUCAACCAGCAACAACAAGGAGAGCUCAAGGGAAAUGGCGACAACCUCGUGAGCCGCGAGUAAAGUCCAGCAAUAUGGAGACUUUGAGGUCGGGAGCAUCACUGUUGUCCUGUGAGCGCUGUAGAGCUUCCUCCAUACAGUCCACCUGAACAAAACACACAGAAGAACCGGGUCUCUUACCCUCCUCUCCGGUCCCGGGCCCGGAAGAGCCGGUCAGAUAUCCGGGUGAAGACGCCGCUGAUGGCCGGAGAAUAGACCGAGUACACCAGCCUCCUCCAGGACAUGGGAGCAGCCAUUGCUGC
Molecule: long non-coding RNA, 587 nt
Organism: Sebastes umbrosus (honeycomb rockfish)
Lineage: Eukaryota; Metazoa; Chordata; Actinopteri; Perciformes; Sebastidae
Exons: 3
Source: RefSeq, a predicted model, not a curated record